UACGGGGGGGGCAAGCGUUGUUCGGAAUUACUGGGCGUAAAGGGCUUGUAGGUGGCCAACUAAGUCAGACGUGAAAUCCCUCGGCUUAACCGGGGAACUGCGUCUGAUACUGGAUGGCUCGAGUUUGGAAGAGGGAUGCGGAAUUCCAGGUGUAGCGGUGAAAUGCGUAGAUAUCUGGAGGAACACCGGUGGCGAAGGCGGCAUCCUGGACCAACACUGACACUGAAAAGCGAAAGCCAGGGGAGCAAACGGG
Molecule: ribosomal RNA, 253 nt
Filed under: uncultured bacterium
Lineage: Bacteria
Description: partial 16S ribosomal RNA
Rfam family: Bacterial small subunit ribosomal RNA
Source: RNAcentral